CCUGAUAAGAGAACUGUCUUGCUUCCCUUUUCCUGCAGCCUUCCAGUACAGAGGAAUAGGUGUGUGUGGGUGUGUAUCUGACAUCUCUAAGUAGAAAAUUACGCAUUUUGCAAAGAUCUUGGAGCCAAGGAUCUUCUUUAACUUGUAAAUUUAUCAAGAAACAGGAAAAAUUAAGUGGCCCCUACCAAAGCAAAAGUUACUGAACUGAAAGGAGGAAAGGGGAAACUUGCUGAAAUGGCUGACAUCAAUACAAUUCACACUAUCAAACAAUUCACAAUUGGG
Molecule: long non-coding RNA, 282 nt
Filed under: Elaeis guineensis (African oil palm)
Lineage: Eukaryota; Viridiplantae; Streptophyta; Magnoliopsida; Arecales; Arecaceae
Description: long non-coding RNA (EGUI_LNC029035)
Source: RNAcentral